RNAcentral lists this unclassified non-coding RNA (201 nucleotides) under Hevea brasiliensis (rubber tree). The record is from RNAcentral. Lineage: Eukaryota; Viridiplantae; Streptophyta; Magnoliopsida; Malpighiales; Euphorbiaceae.
AGAACUACUGAAUAAUAAAAACUAGCCCUAUUCAUAAAGCUUACAACUCUAAUCACAUUAGGAAUAGAAACCCCAAUUCAAAUCUAAUUAGGAAUAUCAAGCUAAUUAAACUUCCUAAAUAAAAAUACCAAUCCUACUAAUAAUAGAAUUACUAGAUACUACGUAUACUAAGGGCUGUUUACUUGUGAAAAAAAUUUUUUU